AGUGUUGGGUUCGAGGCGUGACAGUCUUGGUGGUUGUAGCCACUGUGGUGGAGGUUUAGAGAUGAUGAUGGUAUAGAUAGAGGUACCAAUGGUAGUGUAGGAGGGGUAGGAUUUUAGAGGAGAUUUGAGGAAGAGAAAAUGAUGAAAUGAAAAAUAGAAACUCUAAUUAAAAGAGAAAAAUGGGAAAGGAGUUUGGGAUUCCGCAUCAGCUAGUUCCAUACCAUAUCAAUUUCUACUACAUAUCAUGUGGUAGC
RNAcentral lists this long non-coding RNA (254 nucleotides) under Elaeis guineensis (African oil palm). RNAcentral describes it as "long non-coding RNA (EGUI_LNC009088)". The record is from RNAcentral. Lineage: Eukaryota; Viridiplantae; Streptophyta; Magnoliopsida; Arecales; Arecaceae.